Molecule: ribosomal RNA, 497 nt
Filed under: uncultured bacterium
Lineage: Bacteria
Description: partial 16S ribosomal RNA
Rfam family: Bacterial small subunit ribosomal RNA
Source: RNAcentral
GAUGAACGCUGGCGGCGUGCCUAAUACAUGCAAGUCGAGCGAACGGACGAGAAGCUUGCUUCUCUGAUGUUAGCGGCGGACGGGUGAGUAACACGUGGAUAACCUACCUAUAAGACUGGGAUAACUUCGGGAAACCGUAGCUAAUACCGGAUAAUAUUUUGAACCGCAUGGUUCAAAAGUGAAAGACGGUCCUGCUGUCACUUAUAGAUGGAUCCGCGCUGCAUUAGCUAGUUGGUAAGGUAACGGCUUACCAAGGCAGCGAUGCAUAGCCGACCUGAGAGGGUGAUCGGCCACACUGGAACUGAGACACGGUCCAGACUCCUACGGGAGGCAGCAGUAGGGAAUCUUCCGCAAUGGGCGAAAGCCUGACGGAGCAACGCCGCGUGAGUGAUGAAGGUCUUCGGAUCGUAAAACUCUGUUAUUAGGGAAGAACAUAUGUGUAAGUAACUGUGCACAUCUUGACGGUACCUAAUCAGAAAGCCACGGCUAACUACGUG